Molecule: ribosomal RNA, 254 nt
Filed under: uncultured prokaryote
Description: partial 16S ribosomal RNA
Rfam family: Bacterial small subunit ribosomal RNA
Source: RNAcentral
ACGUAGGCACCAAGCGUUGUCCGGAUUUAUUGGGCGUAAAGAGCUCGUAGGCGGUUCGGUAAGUCGGGUGUGAAAACUUUGGGCUCAACCCAAAGCGUGCACUCGAUACUGCCGUGACUGGAGUUCGGUAGGGGAGCGGGGAAUUCCUAGUGUAGCGGUGAAAUGCGCAGAUAUUAGGAGGAACACCGGUGGCGAAGGCGCCGCUCUGGGCCGAUACUGACGCUGAGGAGCGAAAGCGUGGGGAGCAAACGGGA